RNAcentral lists this ribosomal RNA (450 nucleotides) under uncultured bacterium. Its description in RNAcentral is "partial 16S ribosomal RNA". It matches the Rfam family "Bacterial small subunit ribosomal RNA", at positions 354 to 796 of the family's 1533-position model. The record is from RNAcentral.
GUGGGGAAUUUUGGACAAUGGGCGCAAGCCUGAUCCAGCAAUGCCGCGUGCAGGAAGAAGGCCUUCGGGUUGUAAACUGCUUUUGUACGGAACGAAACGGUCCGGGUUAAUACACUGGGCUAAUGACGGUACCGUAAGAAUAAGCACCGGCUAACUACGUGCCAGCAGCCGCGGUAAUACGUAGGGUGCAAGCGUUAUUCGGAAUUACUGGGCGUAAAGCGUGCGCAGGCGGUUUUGUAAGACAGGCGUGAAAUCCCCGGGCUCAACCUGGGAAUUGCGCUUGUGACUGCAAGGCUGGAGUGCGGCAGAGGGGGAUGGAAGUCCGCGUGUAGCAGUGAAAUGCGUAGAUAUGCGGAGGAACACCGAUGGCGAAGGCAAUCCCCUGGGCCUGCACUGACGCUCAUGCACGAAAGCGUGGGGAGCAAACAGGAUUAGAUACCCCAGUAGUCC